This is a long non-coding RNA of Rosa chinensis, 467 nucleotides long. RefSeq lists it as uncharacterized. The record is from RefSeq and is a predicted model, not a curated record. The transcript has 5 exons. Lineage: Eukaryota; Viridiplantae; Streptophyta; Magnoliopsida; Rosales; Rosaceae.
GUUAACACCUUUUAUCUUCAUCUUCCUCUGAAUUCAGUUUGGUGGCACAUGAAUUAGAAUUAGGUCGAGUGUAUUCUCGCAUAGAUUCACAUGAAAAACCCAGUCCAGACUAUCUGCUGCAACAAUAGCUGUAGGGGAGCCCAGAGCUCCAAAGUAAUAAAUUCACAUCUCCAUGUUUGGGCUUUUCCUCAGAAGGCUGCUGGUAAAUAUCCUUACUUUCCUGGCCAAGAACCCACUUUGCCUGGGGAUAUCGAUUUGUUGCUUCAGGUGAUGAUGUGAAGGAAAAAGAGCCGGACCCUUCAAUUUAUCUUAUAGUUGCCAAGAAUUUGGAAUCUCUGGUCUGUCCAAUUUGGAGUUGCUCAUCAAAGAGAGCCUGCAAAAAGCCAGUGGCAGCGAUCUCCAAGUUCAUUUUAAGGUACCCAGGAUCUUCAUGAUAAUGAAUGGAAAUUCAGACAUAUAUUUCGAGG